Molecule: ribosomal RNA, 619 nt
Filed under: uncultured bacterium
Lineage: Bacteria
Description: bacterial SSU rRNA
Rfam family: Bacterial small subunit ribosomal RNA
Source: RNAcentral
CCUACGGGAGGCAGCAGUGGGGAAUUUUGGACAAUGGACGCAAGUCUGAUCCAGCCAUGCCGCGUGCGGGAAGAAGGCCUUCGGGUUGUAAACCGCUUUUGUCAGGGAAGAAACGGGUUUCUCUAAUACAGAGACCUAAUGACGGUACCUGAAGAAUAAGCACCGGCUAACUACGUGCCAGCAGCCGCGGUAAUACGUAGGGUGCAAGCGUUAAUCGGAAUUACUGGGCGUAAAGCGUGCGCAGGCGGUUAUGCAAGACAGAGGUGAAAUCCCCGGGCUCAACCUGGGAACUGCCUUUGUGACUGCAUAGCUAGAGUACGGUAGAGGGGGAUGGAAUUCCGCGUGUAGCAGUGAAAUGCGUAGAUAUGCGGAGGAACACCGAUGGCGAAGGCAAUCCCCUGGACCUGUACUGACGCUCAUGCACGAAAGCGUGGGGAGCAAACAGGAUUAGAUACCCUGGUAGUCCACGCCCUAAACGAUGUCAACUGGUUGUUGGGAGGGUUUCUUCUCAGUAACGAAGCUAACGCGUGAAGUUGACCGCCUGGGGAGUACGGCCGCAAGGUUGAAACUCAAAUGAAUUGACCGGNNGAGAGNGCGACGACGACGACGAGGGAGGAGG